AGCAGCCGCGGUAAUUCCAGCUCCAAUAGCGUAUAUUAAAGUUGUUGCAGUUAAAAAGAUCGUAGUUGAAUUUCGGGGUCAGUAGGUUGGUCGUGCCACUGGUAUGUACUGGCCUCACUGAUUCCUCCUUCCUGAUGAACCGUAAUGCCAUUAAUUUGGUGUUGCGGGGAAUCUGGACUGUUACUUUGAAAAAAUUAGAGUGUUUAAAGCAGGCUAACGCUUGAAUACAUUAGCAUGGAAUAAUGGAAUAGGACGUUCGAUCCUAUUUUGUUGGUUUCUAGGAUUGACGUAAUGAUUAAUAGGGAUAGUUGGGGGCAUUAGUAUUCAAUUGUCAGAGGUGAAAUUCUUGGAUUUAUUGAAGACUAACUACUGCGAAAGCAUUUGCCAAGGAUGUUUUCAUUAAUCAAGAACGAAAGUUAGGGGAUCGAAGACGAUCAGAUACCGUCGUAGUCUUAACCAUAAACUAUGCCGACUAGGGAUCGGAUGAUGUUAAUUUUUUAAUGACUCAUUCGGCGCCUUACG
RNAcentral lists this ribosomal RNA (522 nucleotides) under uncultured Glomus. Its description in RNAcentral is "SSU rRNA". It matches the Rfam family "Eukaryotic small subunit ribosomal RNA", at positions 569 to 1092 of the family's 1831-position model. The record is from RNAcentral. Lineage: Eukaryota; Fungi; Glomeromycota; Glomeromycetes; Glomerales; Glomeraceae.